Molecule: long non-coding RNA, 838 nt
Filed under: Ananas comosus (pineapple)
Lineage: Eukaryota; Viridiplantae; Streptophyta; Magnoliopsida; Poales; Bromeliaceae
Description: long non-coding RNA (ACOM_LNC009441)
Source: RNAcentral
UAUUUUAAAAUAAAAUAGGAAAAUAUCUUUUAUAGGAUUUUCACACCCGUAAUCUAUUAUAGAAAACUUACUUUUGAAAUUAAAUAGAAAAAUUUAUAUUUUAGAAUUUUCACAUCAGUAAUCUAUUAUAGAGAACUUACGUAUUCAUUGUUGUUUCUAUUUUUAUUUUUAUUCUUAUAUUUAAAAUUUUUCGUACGGAAAGAGAAAAAUGGGCGCUAAUUUUUCCGCCGAAAAAUGGGUCUGUCGACAGACCCAAAUUUGAAUAUACGUGCUUUUAUAUAUAGUAUAGAUACAUACACCACACACAUACACUUUAGUGUUGAAUAUAUAAAAUAUUAAUACAAUAUUAUUUUUUUUAGUAGUUUAAAUUUUGAUGGUUUAUUUGCUUAUACUUUUUAAGAUUUUGAAAGUGUGGGUUAGGAAUUGAGAAUUUCGAUAAUUGGUUCGGUACAGGAACUUUUUUUUUUCCCACCAUAGCUUGAUUUUAAUGGUCUAAAAUAUCCAUUUCAAGUUUGACAUAUCAUCUUAUUUGAUAUUAAAUAUACAUAAUAUCACUUCCUAUUAAUAAGGCAUAGUAAACCAUAUGAUGUGACAGAUAGAUAAUUGAAAAAAAAUAAAAAAUGUCGACAAAAAAAAAAAACGACGAUAAAAAAAUGAUGAUAAAAGAUGGGAUUUAUUUUGCUGAUGAACGAAGAUAACAGCUGAAAAAAGAGAAAGAGAAAGGACUUGAGCUGGUUUAAGAUGGAGUCCAUACUCAACAAUGAAGAAAAAGUUGCCAUGUGACAAUUUUAGGAGAAAUAAUGUAUAGGUAUAGAUUAGAAUAAACUUAUAUAUUGAU